CACAAAAGGAGAAGCCCUCAGUAGAAGAAAAGAAAAUAUUAAUAGCCAUUGAAGGCUCUGGGGGGCUAGCACGGAGGUCAGCAUAGACCUACACUGCCUGGAUACUAGUACUAAUUUUGGUCCUGAACGCAGAGAGCACAAAACCCACCUUUGUUUCUCAGUUUUCUUUGGACCACUCCAGAAUUAACCCUUCAUUUUCUUUCUUCUGGAAGAAUAGACCUGCAAUGUCUGCGGAUGUGAGCAUGAGUCAAGACUGUCACUGGGCAUACUUAACAGGGGAGAAGGACCUCUGCGUUAGGUGGUGAAGGUCCUGGUGACAAGUACUUGAAGAACACAGAAGUAACUCCAUGCCAGUGGUACCCAGGAGACCAGCUAAGAACAGGAGAUGCACAGGCCAUACUGAACAAGAAGGCAAUCCAGCAAGGCCGAUGAGAUAAACUCUUCUAGAAGACUAGAAGGAAGAAAUGUAGAGGUAUCAUUGCAGAGAAAAAACACAGCAAUAAAAGAAACAUGUGUUAACAUGAACAUUGGGGUGUAAGAAUAUGAGAACGGUCUGCAUGGAAAUAUUUUCCAUUGAGAAGCAUGAUCCUGCCUGGUAAGACGCUCUUCAUCCAAAUCCUGUCUGGAUUGCAAAAACUUGUUUGUGUGUGUGUGCACAUCGCACUGCAAAUAUCUGUUAGUGAAAGAAGAGCUGAAGAAGAGCACUUCUUCCUUUACACAUGAAGCAGAAACUGACAUCCCAAGUAAUGCAACACAAUGAACUGCGGUGCGCAGACAGGAGAACAAAUCCAAACCCACUGAGAGUAAAGGACUCUCUUAAAACCUCCUGCGGCCUCUCUAAGGGCACUGCGCACAGUACGUGAGGCCUUGGUUGCAAU
Long non-coding RNA from Cuculus canorus (common cuckoo), 878 nucleotides. RefSeq lists it as uncharacterized. NCBI's taxonomy places the organism in Eukaryota, Metazoa, Chordata, Aves, Cuculiformes, Cuculidae. The record is from RefSeq and is a predicted model, not a curated record. The transcript has 7 exons.